CCUACGUCUGGUCCAGUCGGUCUUCCUCCGGCCCGGGCCCUGGCCUAGCUAGCCAGCCAUGGAGGUGAAGAAAAUAUUUGGAAGCUCUGUGAAUACAUCAAAAACCAUGACCAGUAUCCUUUAGAAGAAUGUUAUGCUGUCUUCAUAUCUAAUGAGAGGAAGAUGAUACCUAUCUGGAAACAACAGGCGAGACCUGGAGAUGGACCUGUGAUCUGGGCUGACCCCCAGAAGCCUCCUUUGUUAUUAGUUUGGAGCAGAUCCUUGCAGAUGUUUUCCUCUGCAUUCAAAUGCAUGGAAAUGUACUUCUGAAUGCGCAUGAUUACCAUGUUGUUUUGCUUCAUGUUUCAAGUGGAGGACAGAGCUUCAUUUAUGAUCUCGAUACUGUCUUGCCAUUUCCCUGCCUCUUUGACACUUAUGUAGAAGAUGCCUUUAAGUCUGAUGAUGACAUUCACCCACAGUUUAGGAGGAAAUUUAGAGUGAUCCGUGCAGAUUCAUAUUUGAAGAACUUUGCUUCUGACCGAUCUCACAUGAAAGACUCCAGUGGGAAUUGGAGAGAGCCUCCGCCGCCGUAUCCCUGCAUUGAGACUGGAGAUUCCAAAAUGAACCUGAACGAUUUCAUCAGUAUGGAUCCCAAGGUAGGAUGGGGUGCUGUCUACACACUAUCCGAAUUUACACAUCGGUUUGGCAGUAAAAACUGCUGAACUUGGCCUCAGGAUGUGGAACUGUGGAGAAAUUCUAGGACAUGAACAAGCUAUCCUUUCAUCGAGGACAGCAAACAUUAUGGUACAGUUGGCUUGGAAUUAUGUCUUUCUCUUUUAAUUUGAUUGAGUGGAAAUCUGAGUGAAUACAAAUAUAAAUGAACAACAUAAAAACUUUUGACAUGUCAAAUUGAAACUUGAUAAAG
Molecule: small RNA, 904 nt
Filed under: Pongo abelii (Sumatran orangutan)
Lineage: Eukaryota; Metazoa; Chordata; Mammalia; Primates; Hominidae
Description: processed transcript
Source: RNAcentral